RNAcentral lists this unclassified non-coding RNA (350 nucleotides) under uncultured Mortierellales. Its description in RNAcentral is "sequence contains ITS2". The record is from RNAcentral. Lineage: Eukaryota; Fungi; Mortierellomycota; Mortierellomycetes; Mortierellales.
AACGCAUAUUGCGCUCUUUGGUAUUCCGAAGAGCAUGCUUGUUUGAGUAUCAGUAAACACCUCAAAGACAUUUCUGAUUUAUUUUCUGGAAUGGCUUUGGACUUGAGCAAUCCCAACACCAGUCCUUUACGGGAUCGGCGGAGGGUUGCUUGAAAUGCAGGUGCAGCUGGACAUUCUCCUGAGCUAUAAGCAUAUCUAUUUAGUCCCGUCAAACGGAUUAUUACUUUUGCUGCAGCUAACAUAAAGGGAGUCUGACCGUAUUGGCUGACUGAUGCAGGAUUUCACAGGGGUUGGAAACGACUCUUGUAAAACUCGAUCUCAAAUCAAGUAAGACUACCCGCUGAACUUAA